Molecule: ribosomal RNA, 77 nt
Filed under: Photobacterium swingsii
Lineage: Bacteria; Pseudomonadati; Pseudomonadota; Gammaproteobacteria; Vibrionales; Vibrionaceae
Description: partial 16S ribosomal RNA
Rfam family: Bacterial small subunit ribosomal RNA
Source: RNAcentral
GGUGUGGUUCAUGACUGGGGUGAAGUCGUAACAAGGUAGCCCUAGGGGAACCUGGGGCUGGAUCACCUCCUUAACGA